GUGCUCACUUUGGCAGCUCACAUAUUAAAAUUGGACCGAUACAGAAAAGAUUAGCAUCGCCCCUAUGCAAGGAUGAUAACACAAAUUUGGGCCCACCAUAUGGUC
Molecule: small nuclear RNA, 105 nt
Organism: Lemur catta (Ring-tailed lemur)
Lineage: Eukaryota; Metazoa; Chordata; Mammalia; Primates; Lemuridae
Source: RefSeq, a predicted model, not a curated record